This 448-nucleotide long non-coding RNA is filed under the name Phoenix dactylifera (date palm). RNAcentral describes it as "long non-coding RNA (PDAC_LNC004871)". The record is from RNAcentral. Lineage: Eukaryota; Viridiplantae; Streptophyta; Magnoliopsida; Arecales; Arecaceae.
UGACUCGCCAAUGCAGUAAUUUUUUCAACUUUCUGUCUUUUGACUAUGGCUAUACUAAGGUCGACUUGCUUUUCUGGGGUCGACUCGUGCUACGCUAGAGUCAGCUCGAGUACUUCAUGGGUCGACUUGUUAAUGAGAUGAAUUUUUUGGCUUUCUAUCUGUCCUCUGAGACUAUUCUAAGGUCAACUCACGAUCUAUUGGAGUUGGCUCGUGAAAGUACAUUAGUCAGCGACAAUAUUUCGGGGUUGACCCGUUGCAGGCUUAGGGUUGACUCUUGAGGUAAUUCAGGACGAAAUCUUUUGUACUUGUAUCUAAGCUUCCAAGGAAUGUAUUCAUGGCCUUUUGGGAGUUUGCUUCUUGAUGUGGAGCUUCAGAUGGAUGAUCUUCUUUUGAGAGUGAUUAAAGGCCUUCUUCUUGCUUUUUGAAAUUAAUCAACCAUACUCAAAGU